UCAGUUUAAAAUAGAAAUUUUGUUCUAGAAGUUGUUAUUUUUUGCUAUGAAACACAUCACCAUAAUGCACUUUAUUAAAUAACAUUAUGGUUAAAUGGCCAAUUCAAGUAUAUUUUUCUGAAAUUCCUUAUAAAGUCUAAAAAUGUCUCUACCCUGGCCUGUCCUCUUGCCAACUUCAGUUUAAUUUGAAUACGAUACAUUACUUCUUUAUAUCAGUUGCUAAACUAAAAUAUGUUAAACACGAACUUCAUUAAAUAUAUUUAAUUAUUAUUAAUAAAAAAUUCAACAAUAUUUAUUUAUUUCCAAUAAUUUUUAAAUUUAAAGUUUGUCCCACUUUGUUUUGUGUAUCUACCCUGGCAAAUUUCAUUCAGCUACUAAAAACAUAAUAUAAAACAGAUAUAUUCGAAAUAGUGCUCAAGAUUAUCUAUCGAUGUGUAGUUAGCAAUACAAAACACACGAGCCAUGAGAGAGACAAGAAUCUACAGGUCGAGCAAGUCUCGUAAAUUUCACGAUUGCGAGCCACGCUUCACGCAACCGUGUUUGCGUACUUGUGUUUCGAGUUGCGUGGUCGUGCGGAGUUAUAUUUACCAAAUUUAAAUCCGUUCCAACAUGCUGUCAAAAUUAAAUCAAUAUGUCAAUAUGGCUACUUGGUGUAAAAGAUAAAUCUUAUUCUAUCUGUUCUUAAUGAGUUUUAGAUAAUUUUAGUUGUAUUUCUUUGUAAUUUUGUGUUGUACAAAGAUUAAUUUAACAUUUUCUCUGGAAGUAUUAAUUUAGAAAGAUAAUAUGCUUCAUUGGUGUUGUGUUUUGAAGUGUGAAAUGCAAAGUAAUUGUGAUAAAGUCAAGAUAAAGUUCACUUUUAAACUGAACUAAAUAAGGUAUCUGAGAGACAACAAUGGUUAUUAAAUGCAAUACAAUGUACAGGUUUUACUAGCGAAAUGAAAAUUUUCCUGUCCUGUCUGCUGUAAUCAUUUUAUAUCUGGUAAGUUACAAUUACAACAGUAACGAUUUUUGAAGAUGUUAACAUUUUAAUCUUAUAGGAAAACCAGCCGACUUAAUCGAUAAUAACAAUCUCCAGAUUGGGUUCCUUCAAUAAAUAUGGGCUAUAAACACAAUGAAAUAAGUUCCCCAAAAUCUAAAAUGGAGUGGUAUCAAAGGAGAAUUAAAGGAAAAAAUAUUCAUAUUGAAAUUAUUUAUAAGGCACUGGACUGUCUUAAAUUCUACAAUAAUACUAGAAUCAGCUGAGAGAAGUGGUCUACAAAAAACCAGGAAGGAAACGGAAUAUGUGGCUACGAAAGGCAAAAGAAAGGUUUACAAAGCAAAUGUGACACAUUUUUUUGAAAUAUUUAGGAAUAUCAGUAAAUUGCAUUAAAAAAAUGUAUGAAAAGAUUUUGUUCAAUAAAAAUGUUUAUAUUUA
This is a long non-coding RNA of Diabrotica virgifera virgifera (western corn rootworm), 1414 nucleotides long. RefSeq lists it as uncharacterized. NCBI's taxonomy places the organism in Eukaryota, Metazoa, Arthropoda, Insecta, Coleoptera, Chrysomelidae. The transcript is spliced from 2 exons. The record is from RefSeq and is a predicted model, not a curated record.